RNAcentral lists this ribosomal RNA (468 nucleotides) under uncultured bacterium. RNAcentral describes it as "partial 16S ribosomal RNA". It matches the Rfam family "Bacterial small subunit ribosomal RNA", at positions 28 to 507 of the family's 1533-position model. The record is from RNAcentral.
GACGAACGCUGGCGGCGUGCUUAACACAUGCAAGUCGAACGGCAAGGCCCUGCUUUUGUGGGGUGCUCGAUUGGCGAACGGGUGCGUAACACGUGAGUAACCUGCUCUUGACUUUGGGAUAACUUCAGGAAACUGGGGCUACUACCGUAUAGGAGCUCCUGCUGCAUGGUGGGGGUUGGAAAGUUUCGGCUGUUGGGGAUGGACUCGCGGCUUAUCAGCUUGUUGGUGGGGUAGUGGCUUACCAAGGCUUUGACGGGUAGCCGGCCUGAGAGGGUGACCGGCCACAUUGGGACUGAGAUACGGACCAGACUCCUACGGGAGGCAGCAGUGGGGAAUAUUGCACAAUGGGCGGAAGCCUGAUGCAGCAACGCCGCGUGCGGGAUGACGGCCUUCGGGGUGUAAACCGCUUUCGCCUGUGACGAAGCGUGAGUGACGGUAAUGGGUAAAGAAGCACCGGCUAACUACGUG